This 247-nucleotide ribosomal RNA is filed under the name uncultured archaeon. RNAcentral's name for it is "partial 16S ribosomal RNA". It matches the Rfam family "Archaeal small subunit ribosomal RNA", at positions 691 to 937 of the family's 1478-position model. The record is from RNAcentral.
CCGACGGUGAGAGGCGAAAGCUGGGGGAGCAAACCGGAUUAGAUACCCGGGUAGUCCCAGCUGUAAACGAUGCGCGUUAGGUGUGUCAGUGACCACGUGUCACUGAUGUGCCGAAGGGAAACCGUGAAACGCGCCGCCUGGGGAGUACGGUCGCAAGGCUGUAACUUAAAGGAAUUGGCGGGGGAGCACCACAACGGGUGGAGCCUGCGGUUUAAUCGGACUCAACGCCGGAAAUCUCACCGGAUAA